Molecule: ribosomal RNA, 206 nt
Filed under: Anophryoides haemophila
Lineage: Eukaryota; Ciliophora; Oligohymenophorea; Philasterida; Glauconematidae
Description: partial Bacterial large subunit ribosomal RNA
Rfam family: Bacterial large subunit ribosomal RNA
Source: RNAcentral
CGACCUGCACGAAUGGAGUAACGACUUGGGCGCUGUCUCAACCAUGGACUCGGCGAAAUUGCACUACGAGUAAAGAUGCUCGUUACGCGCGGCAGGACGGAAAGACCCCGGGACCUUUACUAUAGUUUGGCAUUGGUGUUUGGUUCGGCUUGUGUAGGAUAGGUGGGAGACUGUGAAGCGGCCACGCCAGUGGUUGUGGAGUCAAC